GCGGGUAUGAUGGAAUUGGUAGACAUGCGAGAUUUAGGUUCUCGUGGCAGCCGCCGUUGGGGUUCGAGUCCCCAUACCCGCACCA
Molecule: transfer RNA, 85 nt
Filed under: Oscillospiraceae bacterium
Lineage: Bacteria; Bacillati; Bacillota; Clostridia; Eubacteriales; Oscillospiraceae
Description: tRNA-Leu
Rfam family: tRNA
About the family: Transfer RNA (tRNA) molecules are approximately 80 nucleotides in length. Their secondary structure includes four short double-helical elements and three loops (D, anti-codon, and T loops).
Source: RNAcentral